Molecule: long non-coding RNA, 164 nt
Organism: Leopardus geoffroyi (Geoffroy's cat)
Lineage: Eukaryota; Metazoa; Chordata; Mammalia; Carnivora; Felidae
Exons: 2
Source: RefSeq, a predicted model, not a curated record
GUGCGAUCAUCCUGGUGACGAUGUCACAGACAGCUCGCCCGGCACACGGGUGGGAGAAGGGCACACUACACAGGUCAAGACACACUCACCACAAAGUGACAGAGUGACAGGACCAAGGAUGGCUCUGAUAAUGAUAAGACCACACGAAGUGUUGGCAAGGAUAC